GCAGUCGAGCGAACGGACGAGAGUGCUUGCACUCUCUGAAGUUAGCGGCGGCCGGGUGAGUAACACGUGGGUAACCUACCUAUAAGACUGGGAUAACUUCGGGAAACCGGAGCUAAUACCGGAUAAUAUUUAGCUUCGCAUGAAGCAAUAGUGAAAGACGGUUCUGCUGUCACUUAUAGAUGGACCCGCGGUGUAUUAGCUAGUUGGUGAGGUAACGGCUCACCAAGGCAACGAUACAUAGCCGACCUGAGAGGGUGAUCGGCCACACUGGGACUGAGACACGGCCCAGACUCCUACGGGAGGCAGCAGUAGGGAAUCUUCCGCAAUGGACGAAAGUCUGACGGAGCAACGCCGCGUGAGUGAAGAAGGUUUUCGGAUCGUAAAACUCUGUUGUAAGGGAAGAACAAGUACGUUAGUAACUGAACGUACCUUGACGGUACCUUACCAGAAAGCCACGGCUAACUACGUGCCAGCAGCCGCGGUAAUACGUAGGUGGCAAGCGUUAUCCGGAAUUAUUGGGCGUAAAGCGCGCGUAGGCGGUCUCUUAAGUCUGAUGUGAAAGCCCCCGGCUCAACCGGGGAGGGUCAUUGGAAACUGGGAGACUUGAGUGCAGAAGAGGAGAGUGGAAUUCCAUGUGUAGCGGUGAAAUGCGCAGAGAUAUGGAGGAACACCAGUGGCGAAGGCGGCCCUCUGGUCUGUAACUGACGCUGAGGUGCGAAAGCGUGGGGAUCAAACAGGAUUAGAUACCCUGGUAGUCCACGCCGUAAACGAUGAGUGCUAAGUGUUGGGGGGUUUCCGCCCCUCAGUGCUGCAGCUAACGC
RNAcentral lists this ribosomal RNA (821 nucleotides) under uncultured Macrococcus sp. Its description in RNAcentral is "bacterial SSU rRNA". It matches the Rfam family "Bacterial small subunit ribosomal RNA", at positions 57 to 858 of the family's 1533-position model. Lineage: Bacteria; Bacillati; Bacillota; Bacilli; Caryophanales; Staphylococcaceae. The record is from RNAcentral.